AUUGAACGCUGGCGGCAGGCCUAACACAUGCAAGUCGAGCGAGCGGCGGACGGGUGAGUAAUGUAUGGGGAAUGCCCGAUAGAGGGGGAUAACUACUGGAAAAGGUAGCUAAUACCGCAUACUAUCGGAUAAGCCAUAUGGGUUUUGCUAGUUGGUGAGGUAAUGGCUAACCAAAGCGACGAUCCCUAGAUGGUCUGAGAGGAUGCUCGGCCACACUAGUACUGAGACACGGCCCAGACUCCUACGGAGGCAGCAGUGGGGAAUAGUGCGUAAUGGAGGCAACCCUGACGCAGCUAUGCCGCGUGAAUGAAGAAGGCCUUCGGGUUUUAAAGUUCUUUCGGUAGCGAGGCGUUAACUACAGAAGAAGCACCGGCUAACUCCGUGCCAGCAGCCGCGGUAAUAC
This 403-nucleotide ribosomal RNA is filed under the name uncultured bacterium. RNAcentral's name for it is "partial 16S ribosomal RNA". It matches the Rfam family "Bacterial small subunit ribosomal RNA", at positions 30 to 526 of the family's 1533-position model. The record is from RNAcentral.